This 491-nucleotide ribosomal RNA is filed under the name uncultured bacterium. RNAcentral describes it as "partial 16S ribosomal RNA". It matches the Rfam family "Bacterial small subunit ribosomal RNA", at positions 28 to 507 of the family's 1533-position model. The record is from RNAcentral.
GAUGAACGCUAGCUACAGGCUUAACACAUGCAAGUCGAGGGGAAACGAUGAGAGAGCUUGCUCUCUUAGUCGUCGACCGGCGCACGGGUGAGUAACGCGUAUCCAACCUGCCUCUGACCAAGGGAUAACCCGUCGAAAGUCGGACUAAUACCUUAUGCAGUCGUCGGAAGUCAUCUGAUGACGACGAAAGAUUUCAUCGGUGAGAGAUGGGGAUGCGUCUGAUUAGCUUGUUGGCGGGGUAACGGCCCACCAAGGCGACGAUCAGUAGGGGUUCUGAGAGGAAGGUCCCCCACAUUGGAACUGAGAAACGGUCGAAACUCCUACGGGAGGCAGCAGUGAGGAAUAUUGGUCAAUGGGCGUAAGCCUGAACCAGCCAAGUAGCGUGCAGGAUGACGGCCCUAUGGGUUGUAAACUGCUUUUAUGCGGGGAUAAAGUGAGGGACGUGUCCUUCAUUGCAGGUACCGCAUGAAUAAGGACCGGCUAAUUCCGUG